UAAGCCUGUGAAGGUGGCCUGUGAGGGUUGCUGGAGGUAUCAGAAGUGCGAAUGCUGACAUAAGUAACGAUAAAGCGGGUGAAAAGCCCGCUCGCCGGAAGACCAAGGGUUCCUGUCCAACGUUAAUCGGGGCAGGGUGAGUCGACCCCUAAGGCGAGGCCGAAAGGCGUAGUCGAUGGGAAACGGGUUAAUAUUCCCGUACUUGGUGUUACUGCGAAGGGGGGACGGAGAAGGCUAUGUUGGCCGGGCGACGGUUGUCCCGGUUUAAGCGUGUAGGUGUGUGUUCCAGGUAAAUCCGGUUCACUUUAACACUGAGGCGUGACGACGAGGCACUACGGUGCUGAAGCAACAAAUGCCCUGCUUCCAGGAAAAGCCUCUAAGCAUCAGGUAACAUCAAAUCGUACCCCAAACCGACACAGGUGGUCAGGUAGAGAAUACCAAGGCGCUUGAGAGAACUCGGGUGAAGGAACUAGGCAAAAUGGUGCCGUAACUUCGGGAGAAGGCACGCUGACAUGUAGGUGAAGUGA
This 527-nucleotide ribosomal RNA is filed under the name Salmonella enterica subsp. enterica serovar Derby. RNAcentral describes it as "partial 23S ribosomal RNA". It matches the Rfam family "Bacterial large subunit ribosomal RNA", at positions 1243 to 1768 of the family's 2925-position model. Lineage: Bacteria; Pseudomonadati; Pseudomonadota; Gammaproteobacteria; Enterobacterales; Enterobacteriaceae. The record is from RNAcentral.